This 752-nucleotide ribosomal RNA is filed under the name uncultured bacterium. RNAcentral describes it as "bacterial SSU rRNA". It matches the Rfam family "Bacterial small subunit ribosomal RNA", at positions 61 to 797 of the family's 1533-position model. The record is from RNAcentral.
GUCGAACGUGAAAGUACCUUCUGGGUAUGAGUAAAGUGGCGCACGGGUGAGUAACGCGUGGAUAAUCUACCGGGAAGUUCGGAAUAACAGCUGGAAACGGUUGCUAAUACCGGAUACACUACAUAUAAACGUAUGUGGGAAAGACGGCCUCUGCAUAUGCUGUUGCUUUCCGAUGAGUCCGCGCACCAUUAGCUAGUUGGUGGGGUAAAGGCCUACCAAGGCGACGAUGGUUAACUGGUCUGAGAGGAUGAUCAGUCACACUGGAACUGGAACACGGUCCAGACUCCUACGGGAGGCAGCAGUGGGGAAUAUUGCGCAAUGGGCGAAAGCCUGACGCAGCGACGCCGCGUGAGGGAUGAAGGUCUUCGGAUCGUAAACCUCUGUCAGCAGGGAAGAACGGUCACUGUGCUAAUCAGCAGUGAAUUGACGGUACCUGCAAAGGAAGCACCGGCUAACUCCGUGCCAGCAGCCGCGGUAAUACGGAGGGUGCGAGCGUUAAUCGGAAUUACUGGGCGUAAAGCGCUCGUAGGCGGUAUGUCAAGUCAAGGGUGAAAUCCCCGCGCUCAACGUGGGAACUGCCUUUGAAACUGGCAAACUGGAGUGUGUGAGAGGAUAGUGGAAUUCCAGGUGUAGGAGUGAAAUCCGUAGAUAUCUGGAGGAACAUCAGUGGCGAAGGCGACUAUCUGGCACAUAACUGACGCUGAGGAGCGAAAGCGUGGGUAGCAAACAGGAUUAGAUACCCUGGUAGUCCA